CCGAGUUGAGGUAGUAGGUUGUAUGGUUUAGAAUUACAUCGUGGGAGUUAACUAUACAACCUUCUAGCUUUCCUUGG
Lepisosteus oculatus (spotted gar) is the source of this 77-nucleotide microRNA precursor. It matches the Rfam family "let-7 microRNA precursor family". From Rfam's summary of the family: This family represents the microRNAs (miRNA) let-7 and mir-98. let-7 was identified from a study of developmental timing in C. elegans, and was later shown to be part of a much larger class of non-coding RNAs termed miRNAs. The extents of the hairpin precursors are not generally known and are estimated based on hairpin prediction. Lineage: Eukaryota; Metazoa; Chordata; Actinopteri; Semionotiformes; Lepisosteidae. The record is from Rfam.